AGCAGCCGCGGUAAUUCCAGCUCCAAUAGCGUAUAUUAAAGUUGUUGCAGUUAAAAAGCUCGUAGUUGAACUUCGGGAUCAAUGGAUCGGUCAUGCCAUCGGUAUGUACUGGUCUCAUUGGUUCUCACCUUCUAAGGAACCAUAAUGUCAUUCAUUUGAUGUUUUGGGGAAUUAGGACUGUUACCUUGAAAAAUUAGAGUGUUUAAAGCAGGCUAACGCUUGAAUACAUUAGCAUGGAAUAAUGAAAUAGGACAUCGCAUUCUAUUUUGUUGGUUUCUAGGAUCGAUGUAAUGAUUAAUAGGGAUAGUUGGGGGCAUUAGUAUUCAAUUGUCAGAGGUGAAAUUCUUGGAUUUAUUGAAGACUAACUACUGCGAAAGCAUUUGCCAAGGAUGUUUUCAUUAAUCAAGAACGAAAGUUAAGGGGAUCGAAGACGAUCAGAUACCGUCGUAGUCUUAACCAUAAACUAUAGCCGACUAGGGAUCGGAUGAUGUUAAUUUUUAAUAGUACU
This 508-nucleotide ribosomal RNA is filed under the name uncultured Glomeraceae. Its description in RNAcentral is "SSU rRNA". It matches the Rfam family "Eukaryotic small subunit ribosomal RNA", at positions 569 to 1076 of the family's 1831-position model. Lineage: Eukaryota; Fungi; Glomeromycota; Glomeromycetes; Glomerales; Glomeraceae. The record is from RNAcentral.